UUAAAAAAUAUUAUAUCUAUAUAGAUUAAUCUAGAUUUGGCAAGUACUCCUCGUUAGCAUUUUUUUCGUCCAGAAAAUUUGAGAAGUUGCCUAUUCACCUUCAUCACAAUUUCCAAACUCCACUUUGGAACAAAAAAUAGCUGCUGAAAGGCCCUGCCUAAUGAACUAUUGACCUGUGGAUGUUCUGCUAGAGUCCUUGAUCUCAGCCACGGCUCAAUACAGCGUCUUCCUGCCACAAAUAAUAACUUGAGUUCUCUUUAGCAUAGCAACAUUGCCCAAAAGAAAUCGGCACUUGGACCAGUAUGAGACAACUUCAUAUUGCACUUAACUAUUUAACACGUCUCCCAUCUGAGGCAGGUGUGCUUCUCUUAUUGCGGUAAAGAAAUUGGGCUUAUUUCUAUUUUAUUAACUGGAAUCAAGAAAUCCAAAUUCAUCCUAUCAUUGUUCUGAUGAGAAAGGUUAAGAAUUCAAAAACUGAACGUGAGUUGACUGAUUAAUGGUAAGAACUAUGUCUUAGUAAAACUUAGCCAGAUUUUCUAGAGUUCUUGGAUAUAAUGUUUGUUACUCAAACAUGGACAAAUUUAUGAUGACAAAUUAUAGAAUAUAUAUUCACUUGUAGUUCAGAUUAUGUGUGUUGGUUAAUAGAAUGCUUAAACCAAAGCUAAAAUGUGAAUGCUUUUACAGAAUAUGUUGAUAUGUAUCUUUAGCCAGUGAAAGAAUGUAGAUUUAGCCCAUGGCUGGUGAAUAAAUUAUAGUGUAUUCGGAUU
This is a long non-coding RNA of Capsicum annuum, 767 nucleotides long. RefSeq lists it as uncharacterized. Lineage: Eukaryota; Viridiplantae; Streptophyta; Magnoliopsida; Solanales; Solanaceae. The record is from RefSeq and is a predicted model, not a curated record. The transcript is spliced from 3 exons.